This 460-nucleotide ribosomal RNA is filed under the name uncultured bacterium. Its description in RNAcentral is "partial 16S ribosomal RNA". It matches the Rfam family "Bacterial small subunit ribosomal RNA", at positions 338 to 795 of the family's 1533-position model. The record is from RNAcentral.
CCUACGGGUGGCAGCAGUGAGGAAUAUUGGUCAAUGGACGCAAGCCUGAACCAGCCAAGUAGCGUGAAGGAUGACGGCCCUAUGAGUUGUAAACUUCUUUUGUAAAAGAAUAAAGUUAGAUACGUGUGUUCAUCUGAAAGUACUGUAUGAAUAAGGAUCGGCUAACUCCGUGCCAGCAGCCGCGGUAAUACGGAGGAUCCAAGCGUUAUCCGGAUUUAUUGGGUUUAAAGGGUGCGUAGAUGGGUUGAUAAGUUAGAGGUGAAAGGUCGAGGCUUAACCGGGAAAUUGCAACUGAUACUGGCAGUCUUGAGAGUAGUUGCGGUAGGCGGAAUGCAUGGUGUAGCGGUGAAAUGCUUAGAUAUCAUGCAGAACACCGAUUGCGAAGGCAGCUUACUAAUCUGCCUCUGACGUUGAGGCACGAAAGUGUGGGGAGCAAACAGGAUUAGAUACCCUGGUAGUC